UGGUAAUCAAUGGAAAUUAAUUUGCGUGAAAUCAGAGAUAAGAAUUGCAGCAUUCAAGCGGUGACGUUGUGUUGAGAACGUAUCAGAACACAUUGCACAGUGCAGAUAGAUUGUACCAGAUCACGAUGAGGCUGAUAUGGCUCACUGCACUUCUCCUGAUAGCGGCUACCUCGUUAGUAGCAGGACGUUGUGGCACUUUAAAUUAUUUUUGCGGUCCAAAUCGACCUCCUUGUUGCAUGGGAUUCCGUUGCAUAAAAGCGGGAAAGUACCACUUCUGCGUGGACAUGUGGGAUGUCCGGUAACUUAGACUGUCUGCUUUGCCGCUCUGGAUUCAUUAGAAGUACGCAAAUAGAUCUUCCACGCCAUUUUUCUUUAUUGCAUGUAAUUGAAUAAAACUAGUUGUCUCGCAAUUAUUAACAUUAAAGAUUUAAGAAUU
Long non-coding RNA from Homalodisca vitripennis (glassy-winged sharpshooter), 436 nucleotides. RefSeq lists it as uncharacterized. Lineage: Eukaryota; Metazoa; Arthropoda; Insecta; Hemiptera; Cicadellidae. The record is from RefSeq and is a predicted model, not a curated record. The transcript is spliced from 3 exons.